RNAcentral lists this ribosomal RNA (180 nucleotides) under uncultured Glomeromycotina. RNAcentral's name for it is "partial small subunit ribosomal RNA". The stretch from base 91 to 180 matches the Rfam family "Eukaryotic small subunit ribosomal RNA", at positions 736 to 828 of the family's 1831-position model. The record is from RNAcentral. Lineage: Eukaryota; Fungi; Glomeromycota.
GACCUGGCUGGGUGGUCUUGCCGAAAGGUAAGCACUGCUCCGGUCGGGUCUUUCCUUCUGGGGAACCAGUGUGCUCUUAAUUGGGUGCGCUGGGGAUCCAGGACUUUUACUUUGAAAAAAUUAGAGUGUUUAAAGCAGGCUUUCGCUUGAAUACAUUAGCAUGGAAUAAUAGAAUAGGAC